This 88-nucleotide transfer RNA is filed under the name Anaerolineaceae bacterium. RNAcentral describes it as "tRNA-Ser". It matches the Rfam family "tRNA". From Rfam's summary of the family: Transfer RNA (tRNA) molecules are approximately 80 nucleotides in length. Their secondary structure includes four short double-helical elements and three loops (D, anti-codon, and T loops). The record is from RNAcentral. RNAcentral also lists the same sequence under 2 other names. Lineage: Bacteria; Bacillati; Chloroflexota; Anaerolineae; Anaerolineales; Anaerolineaceae.
GGAGAGGUGCCGGAGUGGUUUAUCGGGGCGCUCUCGAAAAGCGUUGUGGCCUGACUGGUCACCGUGGGUUCGAAUCCCACCCUCUCCG